UGGUGUGAGGGCGAUCUGGCUGCGACAUCUGUCACCCCACUGAUCGCCAGAGUUGAUUUGGCUGAUCUGGCUGGCUAGGCGGGUGUCCCCUUCCUCCCUCACCGCUCCAUGUGCGUCCCUCCCGAAGCUGCGCGCUCGGUCGAAGAGGACGACCAUCCCCGAUAGAGGAGAGGACCGUUCUUCAGUCAAGGGUAUAUGAGUAGCUGCGCUCCCCUGCUAGAACCUCCAAACAAGCUCUCAAGGUCCUUGCAAACUUUUUCUUGUGAUUGAGUUCCAGUUUCAAAGCAGUGUAGUCUGAGAAUAUGCAGGGAAUAAUCUCAGUCUUU
This 326-nucleotide small nuclear RNA is filed under the name Neogale vison (American mink). RNAcentral describes it as "Neovison vison (American mink) 7SK RNA (ENSNVIG00000016380.1)". It matches the Rfam family "7SK RNA", at positions 1 to 285 of the family's 331-position model. Rfam says of the family: 7SK was discovered as an abundant small nuclear RNA in the mid-70s but a possible function has only recently been suggested. Two independent studies have found that 7SK RNA binds the CDK9/cyclin T complex (known as elongation factor P-TEFb). P-TEFb activates transcription by phosphorylating the C-terminal domain of RNA polymerase II. The record is from RNAcentral. Lineage: Eukaryota; Metazoa; Chordata; Mammalia; Carnivora; Mustelidae.